CAGCAGCCACGGGAAUACGUAGGGUGCAAGCGUUAAUCGGAAUUACUGGGCGUAAAGCGUGCGUAGGCGGCUUCUUAAGUCGGAUGUGAAAUCCCUGAGCUUAACUUAGGAAUUGCAUUCGAUACUGGGAAGCUAGAGUAUGGGAGAGGAUGGUAGAAUUCCAGGUGUAGAGGUGAAAUGCGUAGAGAUCUGGAGGAAUACCGAUGGCGAAGGCAGCCAUCUGGCCUAAUACUGACGCUGAGGUACGAAAGCAUGGGGAGCAAACAGGAUUAGAGACCCCUGUAGUCCCUGUCUCUUAUAC
RNAcentral lists this ribosomal RNA (301 nucleotides) under uncultured bacterium. RNAcentral describes it as "partial 16S ribosomal RNA". It matches the Rfam family "Bacterial small subunit ribosomal RNA", at positions 509 to 807 of the family's 1533-position model. The record is from RNAcentral.